Molecule: ribosomal RNA, 465 nt
Filed under: Chrysozymaceae sp. CFL-2020b
Lineage: Eukaryota; Fungi; Basidiomycota; Microbotryomycetes; Chrysozymaceae
Description: partial large subunit ribosomal RNA
Rfam family: Eukaryotic large subunit ribosomal RNA
Source: RNAcentral
CAGCAUGUUGGAAUACAGCGUCAUAGUGGUGAGAACCCCGUACGUGAUGCGGACGCCCGGUGCUUUGUGAUACACUUUCGAAGAGUCGAGUUGUUUGGGAAUGCAGCUCAAAAUGGGAGGUAAAUUCCUUCUAAAGCUAAAUAUUGGCGAGAGACCGAUAGCGAACAAGUACCGUGAGGGAAAGAUGAAAAGCACUUUGGAAAGAGAGUUAACAGUACGUGAAAUUGUUGGAAGGGAAACGCUUGAAGUCAGACUUGCUUGCCGGGCAACCGGUUUGCAGGCCAGCAUCAGUUUUCGGGGGUGGAAAAGCGCGGUUUGAAGGUAGCAGUCUCGGCUGUGUUAUAGCUUUCCGCUGGAUUCACCCUUGGGGACUGAGGAACGCAGCACGCUUUUUGCAGGGUCUUCGGGCUCAUCGUGCUUAGGAUGCUGGUUUAAUGGCUUUAAACGACCCGUCUUGAAACACGG